RNAcentral lists this ribosomal RNA (249 nucleotides) under uncultured bacterium. Its description in RNAcentral is "partial 16S ribosomal RNA". It matches the Rfam family "Bacterial small subunit ribosomal RNA", at positions 524 to 776 of the family's 1533-position model. The record is from RNAcentral.
UACGGAGGGGGCAAGCGUUAUUCGUCAGAACUGGGCGUAAAGGGUAUGUAGGUGAUUUUUUCUAAGAACUUGAAAAAACAAGAAGUUAUUUUUGUAAAAAUUGUUUUGGAAGAUAUUUGAGAUGAUUCAAGGUUGGCAGAAUUACUAAUGUAAAGGUUAAAUCUUUUGAGAUUAGUAGGAAUACCGAAGGCGAAAGCAGCUUUCUGGAACAUCUGACACUGAGGUACGAAAGCAUGGGGAGCAAACAGG